UGGGGAAUUUUGCACAAUGGGGGAAACCCUGAUGCAGCGACGCCGCGUGAUUUACAAGGCCUUCGGGUUGUAAAUAUCUUUUGUAUAUGAAGAAAAUGACAGUACUAUACGAAUAAGGACCGGCUAAUUACGUGCCAGCAGCCGCGGUAAUACGUAAGGUCCGAGCGUUGUCCGGAAUCAUUGGGCGUAAAGGGUACGUAGGCGGGUAAGCAAGUUAGAAGUGAAAUCCUAUAGCUCAACUAUAGUAAGCUUUUAAAACUGCUCAUCUUGAGGUAUGGAAGGGAAAGUGGAAUUCCUAGUGUAGCGGUGAAAUGCGCAGAUAUUAGGAGGAACAGCGGUGGCGAAGGCGACUUUCUGGCCAUAACCUGACGCUGUGGUACGAAAGCGUGGGUAGCAAACAGG
This 402-nucleotide ribosomal RNA is filed under the name Bacteroidota bacterium. RNAcentral's name for it is "Bacteroidetes bacterium partial 16S ribosomal RNA". It matches the Rfam family "Bacterial small subunit ribosomal RNA", at positions 355 to 776 of the family's 1533-position model. Lineage: Bacteria; Pseudomonadati; Bacteroidota. The record is from RNAcentral.